UACGUAGGUGGCAAGCGUUGUCCGGAUUUACUGGGCGUAAAGAGCGCGCAGGCGGUCGUUCAAGUCGCGUGUGAAAGCCCCCGGCUCAACUGGGGAGGGUCACGCGAUACUGAUCGACUCGAAGGCAGGAGAGGGAAGUGGAAUUCCCGGUGUAGUGGUGAAAUGCGUAGAUAUCGGGAGGAACACCAGUGGCGAAGGCGGCUUUCUGGGCAUUUCCUGACGCUGAGACGCGAAAGCGUGGGGAGCGAACCGG
Molecule: ribosomal RNA, 253 nt
Filed under: uncultured bacterium
Lineage: Bacteria
Description: partial 16S ribosomal RNA
Rfam family: Bacterial small subunit ribosomal RNA
Source: RNAcentral